This 457-nucleotide ribosomal RNA is filed under the name uncultured bacterium. RNAcentral's name for it is "partial 16S ribosomal RNA". It matches the Rfam family "Bacterial small subunit ribosomal RNA", at positions 355 to 804 of the family's 1533-position model. The record is from RNAcentral.
UAGGGAAUCUUCCACAAUGGACGCAAGUCUGAUGGAGCAACGCCGCGUGAGUGAAGAAGGCUUUCGGGUCGUAAAACUCUGUUAUUGAAGAAGAGCGUGUGUGACAGUAACUGGUCAUGCAGUGACGGUAUUCAAUCAGAAAGUCACGGCUAACUACGUGCCAGCAGCCGCGGUAAUACGUAGGUGGCAAGCGUUGUCCGGAUUUAUUGGGCGUAAAGCGAGUGCAGGCGGUCUUUUAAGUCUGAUGUGAAAGCCUUCGGCUUAACCGAAGAAGGGCAUCGGAAACUGGGAGACUUGAGUGCAGAAGAGGAGAGUGGAACUCCAUGUGUAGCGGUGAAAUGCGUAGAUAUAUGGAAGAACACCAGUGGCGAAGGCGGCUCUCUGGUCUGUAACUGACGCUGAGGCUCGAAAGCGUGGGUAGCAAACAGGAUUAGAUACCCUGGUAGUCCACGCCGUA